Columba livia (rock pigeon) is the source of this 6945-nucleotide RNA transcript. It is a transcript of the gene named A-kinase anchoring protein 17A, with no coding region annotated. Lineage: Eukaryota; Metazoa; Chordata; Aves; Columbiformes; Columbidae. The transcript has 7 exons. The record is from RefSeq and is a predicted model, not a curated record.
GAGCGCGCCCGCCCCCUUGCAGCCACGCGGAAGCGGAAGUAGUCCCGGCGGCGCGCGGCGGGGCAGGGUCCGGGGCUAGGGAGCAGCGGAGCGGGGCUGUUGCCGGUGGGGCCGGGCCAGACACCGUUCAGGCCUUUGUGCUGCGGAACGUUGGGGCCGCCUCGGCGCUAGCCUGCUGGGGUUUACUGGGUGUUAAGUAGACUUCAAAGCGGUGUGACAUCGCUCCGCCUGUCUCUUCCUCCCGUAAAAAGGGUAGCUGCUUUCUGAGCCAUCACAUACCAACUUCAUGUAUUCCUAAGAUUGUCAUCAGCUUCUUGUAUUUCUUUAGGAGGUUUAAUUACUUACAGGAUUUAGUGGUUAUAAAGUAAUUUAAGAUGUUUGUACUACUCAGUUUUAACUCUGUAAUUGACUCUUGUAUUAGGAGAUACUGUUUUAACUUGGGAAUGGUUAAGUGGCCAAAGAAUUAAAUUAUUUACGGAUAAGGGCUAUUUUAUUUGACUACUGUUGGCCUGCAACUUAAACUUGCAUCUUUUUUUUAUCCUAUGCUUUUUCUGUGUUAUGGCUGCUGCAACAAUAGUUCAUGAUACAUCAGAAGCUGUAGAGCUCUGUGCUCCCUGUGGGUUAUACCUUAAACCCAUUACAAAAAUGACCAUCAGUGUGGCACUUCCUCAGCUGAAACAACCGGGAAAAUCCAUUUCGAACUGGGAAGUGAUGGAAAGAUUGAAAGGGAUGGUGCAAACUCAUCAGUUUUCCACUCUGCGGAUUUCUAAAAGCACGAUGGAUUUCAUCCGGUUUGAAGGAGAGGUUGAAAACAAGAGUUUGGUUAAAUCUUUUCUGGCGUGCCUUGAUGGCAAAACAAUAAAGCUGAGUGGCUUCUCUGACAUUUUAAAAGUCCGUGCUGCAGAAUAUAAGAUUGACUUUCCUACCAGACAUGACUGGGACUCAUUUUUCCGUGAUGCAAAAGACAUGAAUGAAACUUUGCCAGGGGAAAGGCCAGAUACUAUUCACCUAGAGGGCUUGCCUUGUAAGUGGUUUGCGGCAAAGGACUCUGGCUCGGAAAAGCCCAGUGAAGAAGUCCUUAUAGAAGUAUUCAGUAAAUUUGGAGAAAUACGUAAUGUGGACAUACCCAUGCUGGACCCUUACAGAGAAGAAAUGACUGGCAGAAAUUUUCACACUUUCAGUUUUGGAGGCCAUUUAAAUUUUGAAGCUUAUGUUCAGUAUCGGGAGUACGCAGGUUUCAUUAAGGCCAUGAAUGCCCUGCGAGGGAUGAAGCUGAUGUAUAAAGGCGAUGAUGGCAAAGCAGUGGCUUGCAAUAUAAAGGUUUCUUUUGACUCAACAAAACAUCUCAGUGAUGCAUCAAUUAAGAAGCGUCAGCUUGAAAGGGAAAAGCUUCAAGAACUUGAAAAACAGAGAGAAGAACAAAAACGUAAGGAGAAAGAAGCUGAGGAAAGACAAAAAGAGGAAGAAAGGAAGCAGAGAGAGCUUGAAGAACGUGAGAGAGAGCGAAAAAGAGAAGAAAAGUUGCGCAAGAGAGAACAGAAACAGAAAGAUCGUGAAGUUCGACGAAAUAAAAAGCAACUUGAAAAGCUUCAAGCUGAAGAGCAGAAAAAACUGCAAGAGAAGAUAAAGUUAGAAGAAAGGAAGCUCCUGUUAGCUCAGAGGAAUCUUCAGUCCAUUAGACUAAUUGCAGAACUGCUAAGCAGGGCAAAGGCAGUAAAACUUUUGGAGCAAGAGCAUAAUGAAGAAAAGAUUCGACUUCAGCAGCUAGAGGAGAGACGAAGACUCCAGGAGGCUGAGCUCAAACGUGUGGAAGAGGAAAAAGAGAGAGCACUAGGAUUGCAGAGAAAAGAAAAGGAAUUGAGGGAGAAACUACUGAACAAUCUUCUGAGCAAGAAAAUGGAUGCAAUUAAUCAAAACAAAGAAGAAACUGAAGCAUCUCAGUCUGACAUGCUGAAGGAUCCUAGUGGUGCUCCACACACUGUGUCAUCCAGCUGCAUCACUUCUACCUCAGGACAGGCUGUUACAGGGAAACUGGCUCCCGGCUCUCAAAGAGAAGCAGUGUCCCCUGAGAGCGUAAACACUCAGUGCAAGUACUUGAAUGGCAACAUUCAUGACAAAGUUCAUGUCAAAGAAGGUCAGAAACUUCAUACCACAAACUCGGAGAAGUGUUCUGAGAAAAGAAGUUCUGGGUCAUGUGUUCCCACCAGUAAUCAGCAGCAGAAGAGCCUCUCUAGCUAUGACCAGAAUGCCUGCAGGAAGGACUCUCACUGUGAGCCGCGCAAACGUAGCACAGAGUCAAGAAGAAGAAAGAGCCGUUCAUGUAGCAGCAUAAACACUGAUGAGAGUAAGGGUAAACGAGAGAGGAGCAGACACAGAAGAGAUGUGAGUUACCGGGAUGAAAGGUACAGGAAAGAAAGGGGGGAUUAUAGACACUCUAGCAGAAGUUACAGUCCUCGACGAAGCCAUAGUCCUCGUCGAAGAAGUGUAAGCCCCAGGCGUUCACGUUACAGAAGAAGUCGCAGUAGCGAACGUAAGCGAGACAGAAGAGAAAGAAGUUAUAGUCGCAGAAGCGUGAGCAGGAGACGAAGGCACCGGAGAUCACUGACAGCUUCAGGAAGAAAAGCCUGAAAGGACCUUGAAGCUACUCGCAAAUGCUUACAUCCCAAAAUGGAGAGGGAAUGUGGAAGAAGUCCUCUUGCAGUCGGCCAGCUGAACCUAAUCAAAACCUGUUCAAACUGCUAGCACCUAAAGUUGCCCAGUAACUGCUCAGUGCAGAGUUUUAUCUGUUCAAACACUUAGCGGUAUUGUUGCUUCAGGUAUGUGUUUUGCAUCAAAGCUCUCCAAAAUCUUGAAUUCCCUGAGACUGAUACUGCCUUGUGUGUCCCUGUACUGGAUCUGGCUGGGAUUUGACUUAACACUCUUCGUAGCUGCUGGUAUGGCACUGGCACCGUGUUUUGGAUUUGUGACAGUGUUGACAACACACUGAUGCUUUGGCUAUUGCUGAGUGGUGCUUGCACAGUGUCGAGGCCUCCUCUGUUUCCCAUUUUGUGUGCACCCCUCCGAAUGGGUAGGCUGAGGUUUGGAAGGAACACAGCUGGGACAGCUCACCCCAACUGACCAAAGGAGUACCCUAUGACAUGUAACAUCAUGCCCAACAAUAAAAAUGAGGGAUUUUGUUUUUCUGAGGUGGCCAUUGCUCCAAGACUGGCUGGAUAUCAGUCUGCUUGUGGUCUUCAUUGAUGAUAGGCUUUGAACUGCAAGGAAACUUGAAAAAAGUUGAAACUGUAAUCUUACAAUAAGGUCACAAAUAUAAAUUAUUCUGUGCCCAAAGUGAUUUAUUCAGGUUUUUAUUAUGGCUGAGUUAUGUGCUUGUACUACUGCUAAAACCUCACUGAUGCAAUAACUUAAAGAAUGUAAUUUUUUAUACUAAACAAUUACUCUUUGUUCUGUAUUGAUAGUCAGUAUGUUUCUACCAGUUAUCUUCUAGGGGUCUUAGUGUUUCAAACGAAAGAACCUAGGAUACCAGCAGGCUUUAUAAUAAUGGCUUCUAGAAGCUGAAAUAUUGCAGUUACUGAUAUUUUUCCCUACUCUGGAAGAAUGUUGUGAUGCUGAUAGGUUAAAUCUUACCUGAUUUCUUGGAUUUGCAAGACUGUCUUUCAGGAGCUGUCUAAAAGCAGAUCCUUAGCUGCUAGAAAUCCAGUCCAGUGAGAAUGUCUGCAAAGGUAUCUGCCUAUUUAACUGGUAAAACUGGUCAGUGAGAAUUAUCUACUGGUAGUAACUUGACUCUCUUUGCCUAGGCUUGUCAUGGAUUGCAUGUUACUUAUGUCCCAUUGCAUCAAAGUUACGUAUCUUAUUCCAUUUGUCAAUACUUAUGAUUUGGUUUUGUUUUGGGGGCUUUGUUCCCAAGGGUUGUAAGCAGAAUUAUAGAUUUAUUAACUAUUCAUACCAGAACAUCAAUGAUCUGAGUGAACAAGGCUGUUUUAAGUCUUUGUUUAUUCUUCGUUAGGCUACCAUUGAAAAGUUGGAGCCUGAAUGUCAGCUUUCAUCUUGACUGAACACAUGGCAAGACCAAGCUAGAGGUGAGGAAAGAAAUCCUUGAAGAUGAUGGAAGACUUCAGUGGAAUAAUUUGUCCAGAAGCAUUAAGCUUAUCCCGUGCAUUUGACUUCAUUUUUUUGUCCUAAUUUCAAACUCUGUAUCUCUUCCUAUGCCAUGGCAAAGCAGAAUACUCAAAUAGUUCCGAGCUUCUUGCUCUUUGUCAGGCAGCCAUACCUGUCAAUUAAUUUUAAGCUUACUUUACAAUCAGCCAAUCAACCUCAGCUUCACUGUUUACCAGUAUGGUCUUUCCUUCAGUAAUAGAAAAUUUCCUCUGUGAGCAGGAUUGGUGUGGUGUAAAUAUGGGGUGUAAAUCCCAUUGCGCCAUGUGUUGGGCAACUCCAUGCUACAGUGAUGUGUCCAUGCCUGCUGGAAAACCUUGUCAGCAGUGAGUGAGACCUCUGAGCCCUACUCCACUGAGUCCCCAGAGAUGCCCAGGGUUUCUUCUGAUGCUCCCAUUCUUGAGUCCUAAGUCACACAGUGAGACAGGAAGAAGCUUUUCUCAGUUGUGAGGAUGAACCUCUGUUCUGAUCUCAGCUCCAGGAGAGAUGUCAUGUCUGUCACCACAAAGCACAAUGCUUCCCUUUUGUCCUCACAGAGGUUCCAGGAGAGUGGGAACCCACCUUGCUCCUGAGGAUGCGUAGGGCUCAGAAGAGUAUAAAUCAUCUAACGAUACAAGGCAGCAUGUGACCUCGUCCCGUUUGAGGAUGAGGACCCUGCUCAUCGCAGAUGGGUCUGAGCUGGACGGGGUGGGAAGGUUGUUGGCCAAAGCUCCUGUGCCUCCAUGUGCUGUGCAGGAGCUGGUGUGUUCUGUCCCUGCAUAUGCUGUUGCCUCACUGUGGCAGCUGGCACUAGCAGCUAGGAGUGGUUUUCCUGCAGCCCUUGUUAAACAGAGAAGAACAUAAUCCUCCAAAAUUGUAAGAAAUCAAAGUUCCUGCUGCUAAGGACAGUGUUACCCCACAGUCCUGUUCUCAUCCUUAAAGAAGAACAUCUCCUGUUUCUGUCUGAGGGCUGAAGAGUCUCUGCACUUACCAGCCUUCCAGCCUGCAGUUUGCUUUUUAUCUCCUAGCCUCAGCCUGCACUAGGUGACUCAGGAAGCAGCUUAUUCAACAGAAACUACAGCUUCACCACAAGGGCAAGGCCAAGCCCUUCAGUAUGAUUGUUGUGGUAGUUUCCAUCUGCUCACUGCCUCCUAUGGUAAUUUUGAUAAUGUACAAGUCUUAUUGCCCAAAGUCAUUACAUUAGUAAGAAGUGGUUACCAAAGCUGUUUGACCAUAUCCAUGGUUUCUGUCUAACUGACUCCACCUUUGCAAAGUAAUCUAUUAAAUGACCUAGAAUAAGGGCAUAUGCACGAUUAGGUAUGCGUAUAAAAAUAUUUUAUAUGUUCUCCGGAAGCAUCAUCUUAAAAGCUGUUAGGGAAAAUGGAAAUUUUUGUGGUGGCUCCUGAAAUUGCGAGCACAGUACUGUAGCAGGGACCACAAGGCUAAAAACACAAACCAAUGAGAGCUGAUCACAGAUCAGUGCUGCCUGGACAUCGCACCAGUGUCAGCUUUAGGGCAGUUCUUGAACAUAUCUGGGACUGUCUAACAGACCAUUGCAGCUGCUCAUGUAGCAGAGGUAGGGAUGUUAGAUUCUAUAUAAGAGAGCAAUUAAACUAAAUAGUUUGACAGGUGCCUUAAUUCAUAAAUGGUGAUCAGAAUUGACCACUGAUAGCUUGUAUUGCUAUACAAAUUAAGGAGGAAAUACAUGUAUUGCCUGUGUUUUGAUCUGGUAUCCUGCAUUCGAGGUUUGAUUAUAAUCUGGAUACAACAUACAUUUCAUUAUGUUGUAUGCUGUUGAUCCAUCCAUUCCUCAGCCCAGCUAACAUGGUAUUUGCACAAUGUAUCUUUUACUGCCUCACAAUAAAUUUGCAGAGUUGUCUCUAGUGUUUGUACAAAGCAGCAAGCUAGUCGCAGUUGAUAUUUCAGAACUGGGUGUACGGAAUGGAUCCCUCUUGUGCCUUACAUUCCUACAUGUGUAAGUAUCGUUGUUAAAAGCAAAUGUACCUCUGUGUUUUUGUGCUUAAUUUGAUACUGAGCUCUUGAGGUUUGUUUGAAAUGGUAUGUACCACCAUACUUUCUUCUUUGUAAUCAUAGCACAGAAAAUCAAUUUGAUCUGCUUCCCCAUCACCGGCUGCAUCCUCUGAAUAUAUCUCCUGCUUCACCAAAAAGAUAAUCAUAGAUUAACCCAAACAAAUGCUUUUCUGUAGUAGUGGGUUCUAAAACUUUUGAAGUGCUAAGGCUGACCAGAACUGGUUUUAAACUGGUACCAAGUUGCAUGUGCACUGUGGCACCUGUGAAGUGAGCUCUGCCUGCUGUGGAGGGGAUACCCAGGAGAGCUGUCCUUGCAGCUGGCCUGUUUACAGGACAAUGCUAAGGGCUGGUGGUGUGGUAGCACCGCUGUCACUCCCAGCUAGCAGCCUCAACCUGCCAACCAAGUGUCUGAGCAAGGACUGAUCACUCUUAGAUGGGGUCUUCGCUGCAAUUCUGCAUGUGGACCCAGAUGUGUGCCUGUAAGUGCUCUGUUAUUUUCUACCUUAACUGGAUAAGGGAAAGGCAGGCAAAGUCUUUACCUCCUGCUCACCACACCUGACGUAGCUGUCAAACAGCAUAAGGCUCAUUUGAAAUAAGCCACCUGGAGUGUUUGCCAUGGGGCUACUUCUUUCUAAAGCUCUCUUUUUGAAGAUAUGGAGAAGAUUGUCAGAUUAGCAAGUGUAAAAUGGCCUGUGCAAGGCAAUUGUGUGUCCACUGAUUGCCUUUAUGAUGCUUGACAGAGCACAAGUGAUUUCUGACAUUAAAGCUUGACUCAGCUGC